This 204-nucleotide long non-coding RNA is filed under the name Elaeis guineensis (African oil palm). Its description in RNAcentral is "long non-coding RNA (EGUI_LNC081888)". The record is from RNAcentral. Lineage: Eukaryota; Viridiplantae; Streptophyta; Magnoliopsida; Arecales; Arecaceae.
CUUCCAUUUUUCAUUAGCCUUAUUUCAUAACCUUAUUUUUACAACAAAGGUGUAGAAAUAAUAUUUUUAAUGACCUUUGGCAUGUAAUAACAGUCUUUUAAUUUUAAAAUUUUGUUCAAAGACAAAUCAAGCAUAAAGAUUUCCACAGCCUCAGUGCUAAUGGAAUCUCCACUUGCACCAUAGAGCUCGAGGUCACCUCUUUUC